GAUGAACGCUGGCGGCAUGCCUAACACAUGCAAGUCGAUCGGUAAGGCUCUUCGGAGUACACGAGAGGCGGACGGCUGAGUAACGCGUAGGAACACACCCUGCAGUGAGGGGUAAGACACCGAAAGGUGUUCUAAUACCGCAUACGGUCUUCGGAUUAAAGCAUUUAUGCGCUGAAGGAGUGGCCUGCGUCAUAUUAGAUAGUUGGUGAGGUAAUGGCUCACCAAGUCGAUGAUGUGUAGCUGGUCUGAGAGGAUGAUCAGCCAGACUGGAACUGAGACACGGUCCAGACUCCUACGGGAGGCAGCAGUGAGGAAUAUUUCACAAUGAGCGAAAGCUUGAUGGAGCAAUGCCGCGUGCAGGAUGAAGGCCCUCGGGUUGUAAACUGCUUUUAUAAGAGAAGAUUAUGACGGUAACUUAUGAAUAAGGGACGGCUAACUACGUG
This 443-nucleotide ribosomal RNA is filed under the name uncultured bacterium. Its description in RNAcentral is "partial 16S ribosomal RNA". It matches the Rfam family "Bacterial small subunit ribosomal RNA", at positions 28 to 507 of the family's 1533-position model. The record is from RNAcentral.